RNAcentral lists this ribosomal RNA (228 nucleotides) under uncultured bacterium. RNAcentral describes it as "partial 16S ribosomal RNA". It matches the Rfam family "Bacterial small subunit ribosomal RNA", at positions 118 to 346 of the family's 1533-position model. The record is from RNAcentral.
UGAGCAACCUGCCCUUGACCCUGGAAUAACAGCUGGAAACAGCUGCUAAUACCGGAUAUGACCUCCGAUGGCAUCAUCUGGAGGUGGAAAGCUCCGACGGUCAAGGAUGGGCUCGCGGCCUAUCAGCUUGUUGGUGAGGUAACGGCUCACCAAGGCUUCGACGGGUAGCCGGCCUGAGAGGGCGACCGGCCACACUGGGACUGAGACACGGCCCAGACCUCUACGGGA